This 585-nucleotide ribosomal RNA is filed under the name Polaromonas sp. RDB-114. RNAcentral's name for it is "bacterial SSU rRNA". It matches the Rfam family "Bacterial small subunit ribosomal RNA", at positions 102 to 683 of the family's 1533-position model. Lineage: Bacteria; Pseudomonadati; Pseudomonadota; Betaproteobacteria; Burkholderiales; Comamonadaceae. The record is from RNAcentral.
ACGGGUGAGUAAUAUAUCGGAACGUGCCCAAUCGUGGGGGAUAACGUAGAGAAAUUUACGCUAAUACCGCAUACGAUCUAAGGAUGAAAGCGGGGGAUCGCAAGACCUCGCGCGAUUGGAGCGGCUGAUAUCAGAUUAGGUUGUUGGUGAGGUAAAAGCUCACCAAGCCGACGAUCUGUAGCUGGUUUGAGAGAACGACCAGCCACACUGGGACUGAGACACGGCCCAGACUCCUACGGGAGGCAGCAGUGGGGAAUUUUGGACAAUGGGCGAAAGCCUGAUCCAGCAAUGCCGCGUGCAGGAAGAAGGCCUUCGGGUUGUAAACUGCUUUUGUACGGAACGAAACGGCUCUUUCUAAUAAAGAGGGCUAAUGACGGUAACGUAAGAAUAAGCACCGGCUAACUACGUGCCAGCAGCCGCGGUAAUACGUAGGGUGCGAGCGUUAAUCGGAAUUACUGGGCGUAAAGCGUGCGCAGGCGGUUAUGUAAGACAGUUGUGAAAUCCCCGGGCUCAACCUGGGAAUUGCAUCUGUGACUGCAUAGCUAGAGUACGGUAGAGGGGGAUGGAAUUCCGCGUGUAGCAGUG